This 76-nucleotide small RNA is filed under the name Paenibacillus sp. P22. Its description in RNAcentral is "suhB". The record is from RNAcentral. Lineage: Bacteria; Bacillati; Bacillota; Bacilli; Caryophanales; Paenibacillaceae.
UACUAAAUGCUUCAUGGGUAAUUAUUUCUCAGGAAAUAAUGACGGCCGGUCAUCGGCCGUCUUUUUUUUGUCGAUC